This 569-nucleotide ribosomal RNA is filed under the name Curvularia spicifera. RNAcentral describes it as "eukaryotic LSU rRNA". The stretch from base 190 to 343 matches the Rfam family "5.8S ribosomal RNA". The record is from RNAcentral. Lineage: Eukaryota; Fungi; Ascomycota; Dothideomycetes; Pleosporales; Pleosporaceae.
CGUAAGGUGACUGCGGAGGGAUCAUUACACAAUAAAAUACGAAGGCCGUUCGCGGCUGGACUAUUUAUUACCCUUGUCUUUUGCGCACUUGUUGUUUCCUGGGCGGGUUCGCUCGCCACCAGGACCACAAUAUAAACCUUUUUUAUGCAGUUGCAAUCAGCGUCAGUAUAACAAAUGUAAAUCAUUUACAACUUUCAACAACGGAUCUCUUGGUUCUGGCAUCGAUGAAGAACGCAGCGAAAUGCGAUACGUAGUGUGAAUUGCAGAAUUCAGUGAAUCAUCGAAUCUUUGAACGCACAUUGCGCCCUUUGGUAUUCCAAAGGGCAUGCCUGUUCGAGCGUCAUUUGUACCCUCAAGCUUUGCUUGGUGUUGGGCGUUUUUGUCUUUGGCCCGCCAAAGACUCGCCUUAAAAUGAUUGGCAGCCGGCCUACUGGUUUCGCAGCGCAGCACAUUUUUGCGCUUGCAAUCAGCAAAAGAGGACGGCAACCCAUCAAGACUCCUUCUCACGUUUGACCUCGGAUCAGGUAGGGAUACCCGCUGAACUUAAGCAUAUCAAUAAGCGGAGGAAA